UAAAAUAAAAUAUUUUUUAUUUUUUAUUAUUCAUAACAAUUAUUUUUAUAAAUAUUGCGGUACAAACCAAUUUUUUGUUUCUCAAAAGUUUGCACUACAACAGUUCGUUGCGUAAAACUCUAAAAAUUUGGGUGGGUACCAAAUAUGGGACGCGAGAUUUUUUUAUUUUUAUUUUAAGACUUUGCACGACCAAUAUUUGAAUAUUUUUCAUCGCGCAAAACUUUAAAAAUUUGGGCGGGCACCAAAAGUGGAACGUGGGAAAAUUUUUAAAUAUUUUUUUUAAGACUUUGCACGACCAAUUUUUUUCGUCACGCAAAACUUUGCAUGACCAAUAUUCGAAUAUUUUUCGUCGCACAAAACUUUAAAAAUUUGGGUGGUACCGAAAAUGGGACGCGGGAAAUUUUUUUUAUAUAUUUUUUUUAGACUUUGAGCGACCAAUAUUUUUCAUCGUGCAAAACUUUGUGGGACCAAUAAUCCAAUAUUUUUCAUCGCGCAAAACUUUGCGCCACUAAUAUAUAUUUUUUGUCGCGCAAAGUGAUACGGUUUUUAAAACCAAAAUAACUUCUCCACCAUUUUCUCAAUGUCUUUCUCUACUCUUACCUCUCCUCUCUCUUUCCCUCUCCCCAAAUCCCACCCUUUCUGGAACUCACUCCUCUCACUUAAUCUCUCAUCUCUCUCUUCACUAUCUCUCACUCUCACUCACUCUCACUCACUCUCUCAUCUCUCAUUUCACUAUCUCUCACUCUCACUCACUCUCUCAUCUCUCUUUUCGCUAUCUCUCACUCUCACUCACUAUCUUCUCUAAUUCUCUCACACUCACUUCUCCCUCUCAUUCUCACUCACUCUCAAUCUUGCCAAAAGGUAUAUUCUCUCCAAAUUUUAUUUUUUUUUUCUUCAUUAAUAUGUGUUUUUGGAGUUAGUUUUGAGUUUGUGUGGGCUUUGGGGUUGAGUAUAAGGUGAGGAUUGGAGUUUGGGUUGGAUUUGUGGUAUAACAAUUUUAGAGGAGAUUAUGCCAAUUUUUGUUUUCUUUUUUGUUACUUGACCAUAUUUGUUUUUUUUGUAGGGAAUCGUCGAGACUUUGAAAGAUAAAGUUGAGGAUUAGGACGCUAUCGAAACAUAUUAUCCGCUACUACCACCACAAUAGGCUUGUAUUAGGAUUUUAUUAUUAUACUUUGUUAAUUUAUGUGUACAUUUUCAAUAUUAUAUAUUUAUUUAUUUAUUGAAUAAUUUGAUCACUAUUUUUUCUAUGUAAUUUUAUUUUGAAUAUGUCAAUUUAAAUUAAAGUAAUUAAAAAAAUUCAUACAAUUAAAUUAAAUUUCAAAAGUCAAAAUUCGAAAAAAUUAAUAUAAUUAAAUUAAUAUUAAAGAAAUAAUAAACAAAAAGUCAAAAACCUUGCGCGACGA
RNAcentral lists this long non-coding RNA (1403 nucleotides) under Prunus persica (peach). RNAcentral's name for it is "long non-coding RNA (PPER_LNC003586)". Lineage: Eukaryota; Viridiplantae; Streptophyta; Magnoliopsida; Rosales; Rosaceae. The record is from RNAcentral.